This 206-nucleotide ribosomal RNA is filed under the name uncultured bacterium. RNAcentral's name for it is "partial 16S ribosomal RNA". It matches the Rfam family "Bacterial small subunit ribosomal RNA", at positions 568 to 774 of the family's 1533-position model. The record is from RNAcentral.
UGCGUAGGCGGCUUUGCAAGUCAGAUGUGAAAUCUAUGGGCUCAACCCAUAAACUGCAUUUGAAACUGUAGAGCUUGAGUGAAGUAGAGGCAGGCGGAAUUCCCCGUGUAGCGGUGAAAUGCGUAGAGGUGGGGAGGAACACCAGUGGCGAAGGCGGCCUGCUGGGCUUUAACUGACGCUGAGGCACGAAAGCGUGGUAGCAAACA